GAGGAAAAGAAAUCAACCGAGAUUCCCCCAGUAGCGGCGAGCGAACGGGGAGGAGCCCAGAGCCUGAAUCAGUGUGUGUGUUAGUGGAAGCGUCUGGAAAGGCGCGCGAUACAGGGUGACAGCCCCGUACACAAAAAUGCACAUAUUGUGAGCUCGAUGAGUAGGGCGGGACACGUGGUAUCCUGUCUGAAUAUGGGGGGA
This 201-nucleotide ribosomal RNA is filed under the name Escherichia coli. RNAcentral describes it as "partial 23S ribosomal RNA". It matches the Rfam family "Bacterial large subunit ribosomal RNA", at positions 213 to 452 of the family's 2925-position model. Lineage: Bacteria; Pseudomonadati; Pseudomonadota; Gammaproteobacteria; Enterobacterales; Enterobacteriaceae. The record is from RNAcentral.